Molecule: long non-coding RNA, 326 nt
Organism: Oncorhynchus kisutch (coho salmon)
Lineage: Eukaryota; Metazoa; Chordata; Actinopteri; Salmoniformes; Salmonidae
Exons: 3
Source: RefSeq, a predicted model, not a curated record
ACCGAACCGAACGCCGCCAUGGGGUGGUCUGCAACUCCCCGCUUUUUGGUAGUGGACCUUCAACAAAGACGGAGGUUGGGGUAGAAAAUAUGAUCUAAGGGAACAGAGGAGGGAGACAUGGUGUACUCAUGAUGUGAUGUACUCAACAGCAUGCCAGAGCCCUUUUAAAAGGCGGGCUCCGAAGAGAUGGUCGAGCCUCGGAACUCUACCUCACACCAGUACUUCCCUGUAUCCUGCUGCUGGACAGACUUCACACUGAAACCACCCGGACAGAAGGACACACUCAGUGAUUCCCCUAGUACUUAACAUGAUAAUGAAAUAAAUAA